RNAcentral lists this ribosomal RNA (188 nucleotides) under Enterobacter hormaechei. Its description in RNAcentral is "partial 23S ribosomal RNA". Lineage: Bacteria; Pseudomonadati; Pseudomonadota; Gammaproteobacteria; Enterobacterales; Enterobacteriaceae. The record is from RNAcentral.
GGUUAAGCGACUAAGCGUACACGGUGGAUGCCCUGGCAGUCAGAGGCGAUGAAGGACGUGCUAAWCUGCGAAAAGCGCCGGCGAGGUGAUAUGAACCUUUGACCCGGCGAUGUCCGAAUGGGGAAACCCAGUGCAAUCCGUUGCACUAUCGUUAACUGAAUACAUAGGUUAACGAGGCGAACCGGGGG